AACGGCUACUAUUUCUAAGGAAAGCAGCAGGCGCGCAAAUUAUUCAAUGGAAACAAUUUUCCGAAAUAGUGACAAAAAUAUCAAUGCUGGGUACUAUGUAUCUAGUAAUUGGAAUGAGUACAAUUUAAAUCCCUUAACAAGUAACAAUUAGAGGGCAAGUCUGGUGCCAGCAGCCGCGGUAAUUCCAGCUCUAAUAGCGUAUAUUAAUAUUGUUGCAGUUAAAAAGCUCGUAGUUGAAAUUUGGAACUUUAUUAUAUUGGUUUGUCUUUUGAUGAACUGUAUAAUGGGUUUCUUCCUACUAGAGUUCGAUUCUGUUCUUAACUGAAUGGAGUAGCUAUCUUUCGGGGUGGUCAGUUGGUUAUUAUAUCUCCACUAAUAAGCAGAGAGGGGUUAAACCUUUGAAGUAAGUUAUGUGGAUCAAGGUAUGGUGAUUAAUUGGAGUUCUAGUUCAUUUACUUUGAGAAAAUUAGAGUGUUUAAAGCAGCCUCUUUGGGGGCACUGAAUACAUU
This 509-nucleotide ribosomal RNA is filed under the name uncultured eukaryote. RNAcentral describes it as "bacterial SSU rRNA". It matches the Rfam family "Eukaryotic small subunit ribosomal RNA", at positions 402 to 805 of the family's 1831-position model. The record is from RNAcentral.